This 319-nucleotide long non-coding RNA is filed under the name Helianthus annuus (common sunflower). RNAcentral describes it as "sRNA HanXRQr2_Chr13g0596081". Lineage: Eukaryota; Viridiplantae; Streptophyta; Magnoliopsida; Asterales; Asteraceae. The record is from RNAcentral.
AAACCCUAGUUCAACAAAUCCUCCAAAUCGAAGCUCAAAUCAAGCCCGAAUCGUCUGCAUGAUUACAAAUUCGUGAUCGCCUAGUCGUGGGGAUCAUAAGUUGACUCUAAACAAGCUAGGUGGGAGCUUGAAAAGGAACGGGUCAAACGGAUCAUGGAUGCGAAGAAUGUUUGCGCGGACGCGAGGGUAAAACGGCUUAUGGAAUUUACGUGGCUAUGAAUCAGCAAAUUAUUAAGGCAAGGUAUUAAAACGGGUCAAUACUUUGACCCGCGCCAGGUACAUUUUGGAUGCCGGAAGACGAUCAAGCUCGACGAAGGAC